AGAGUUUGAUCCUGGCUCAGGACGAACGCUGGCGGCGCGCCUAACACAUGCAAGUCGAACGGAGCUGAGAGGAGCUUGCUUUUCUUGACUUAGUGGCGAACGGGUGAGUAACGCGUGAGUAACCUGCCCUGGAGUGGGGGACAACAGUUGGAAACGACUGCUAAUACCGCAUAAGCCCACGGCCCGGCAUCGGGCUGGGGGAAAAGGAUUUAUUCGCUUCAGGAUGGACUCGCGUCCAAUUAGCUAGUUGGUGAGGUAACGGCCCACCAAGGCGACGAUUGGUAGCCGGACUGAGAGGUUGAACGGCCACAUUGGGACUGAGACACGGCCCAGACUCCUACGGGAGGCAGCAGUGGGGGAUAUUGCACAAUGGGGGAAACCCUGAUGCAGCGACGCCGCGUGGAGGAAGAAGGUUUUCGGAUUGUAAACUCCUGUCGUUAGGGACGAUAAUGACGGUACCUAACAAGAAAGCACCGGCUAACUACGUGCCAGCAGCCGCGGU
RNAcentral lists this ribosomal RNA (502 nucleotides) under uncultured bacterium. RNAcentral's name for it is "bacterial SSU rRNA". It matches the Rfam family "Bacterial small subunit ribosomal RNA", at positions 8 to 521 of the family's 1533-position model. The record is from RNAcentral.